CGGGACACGUGGUAUCCUGUCUGAAUAUGGGGGGACCAUCCUCCAAGGCUAAAUACUCCUGACUGACCGAUAGUGAACCAGUACCGUGAGGGAAAGGCGAAAAGAACCCCGGCGAGGGGAGUGAAAAAGAACCUGAAACCGUGUACGUACAAGCAGUGGGAGCACAGAGCAAUCUGUGUGACUGCGUACCUUUUGUAUAAUGGGUCAGCGACUUAUAUUCUGUAGCAAGGUUAACCGAAUAGGGGAGCCGAAGGGAAACCGAGUCUUAACUGGGCGUUAAGUUGCAGGGUAUAGACCCGAAACCCGGUGAUCUAGCCAUGGGCAGGUUGAAGGUUGGGUAACACUAACUGGAGGACCGAACCGACUAAUGUUGAAAAAUUAGCGGAUGACUUGUGGCUGGGGGUGAAAGGCCAAUCAAACCGGGAGAUAGCUGGUUCUCCCCGAAAGCUAUUUAGGUAGCGCCUCGUGAAUUCAUCUCCGGGGGUAGAGCACUGUUUCGGCAAGGGGGUCAUCCCGACUUACCAACCCGAUGCAAACUGCGAAUACCGGAGAAUGUUAUCACGGGAGACACACGGCGGGUGCUAACGUCCGUCGUGAAGAGGGAAACAACCCAGACCGCCAGCUAAGGUCCCAAAGUCAUGGUUAAGUGGGAAACGAUGUGGGAAGGCCCAGACAGCCAGGAUGUUGGCUUAGAAGCAGCCAUCAUUUAAAGAAAGCGUAAUAGCUCACUGGUCGAGUCGGCCUGCGCGGAAGAUGUAACGGGGCUAAACCAUGCACCGAAGCUGCGGCAGCGACACUAUGUGUUGUUGGGUAGGGGAGCGUUCUGUAAGCCUGUGAAGGUGUGCUGUGAGGCAUGCUGGAGGUAUCAGAAGUGCGAAUGCUGACAUAAGUAACGAUAAAGCGGGUGAAAAGCCCGCUCGCCGGAAGACCAAGGGUUCCUGUCCAACGUUAAUCGGGGCAGGGUGAGUCGACCCCUAAGGCGAGGCCGAAAGGCGUAGUCGAUGGGAAACAGGUUAAUAUUCCUGUACUUGGUGUUACUGCGAAGGGGGGACGGAGAAGGCUAUGUUGGCCGGGCGACGGUUGUCCCGGUUUAAGCGUGUAGGCUGGUUUUCCAGGCAAAUCCGGAAAAUCAAGGCUGAGGCGUGAUGACGAGGCACUACGGUGCUGAAGCAACAAAUGCCCUGCUUCCAGGAAAAGCCUCUAAGCAUCAGGUAACAUCAAAUCGUACCCCAAACCGACACAGGUGGUCAGGUAGAGAAUACCAAGGCGCUUGAGAGAACUCGGGUGAAGGAACUAGGCAAAAUGGUGCCGUAACUUCGGGAGAAGGCACGCUGAUAUGUAGGUGAAGCGACUUGCUCGUGGAGCUGAAAUCAGUCGAAGAUACCAGCUGGCUGCAACUGUUUAUUAAAAACACAGCACUGUGCAAACACGAAAGUGGACGUAUACGGUGUGACGCCUGCCCGGUGCCGGAAGGUUAAUUGAUGGGGUCAGCGCAAGCGAAGCUCUUGAUCGAAGCCCCGGUAAACGGCGGCCGUAACUAUAACGGUCCUAAGGUAGCGAAAUUCCUUGUCGGGUAAGUUCCGACCUGCACGAAUGGCGUAAUGAUGGCCAGGCUGUCUCCACCCGAGACUCAGUGAAAUUGAACUCGCUGUGAAGAUGCAGUGUACCCGCGGCAAGACGGAAAGACCCCGUGAACCUUUACUAUAGCUUGACACUGAACAUUGAGCCUUGAUGUGUAGGAUAGGUGGGAGGCUUUGAAGUGUGGACGCCAGUCUGCAUGGAGCCGACCUUGAAAUACCACCCUUUAAUGUUUGAUGUUCUAACGUUGACCCGUAAUCCGGGUUGCGGACAGUGUCUGGUGGGUAGUUUGACUGGGGCGGUCUCCUCCUAAAGAGUAACGGAGGAGCACGAAGGUUGGCUAAUCCUGGUCGGACAUCAGGAGGUUAGUGCAAUGGCAUAAGCCAGCUUGACUGCGAGCGUGACGGCGCGAGCAGGUGCGAAAGCAGGUCAUAGUGAUCCGGUGGUUCUGAAUGGAAGGGCCAUCGCUCAACGGAUAAAAGGUACUCCGGGGAUAACAGGCUGAUACCGCCCAAGAGUUCAUAUCGACGGCGGUGUUUGGCACCUCGAUGUCGGCUCAUCACAUCCUGGGGCUGAAGUAGGUCCCAAGGGUAUGGCUGUUCGCCAUUUAAAGUGGUACGCGAGCUGGGUUUAGAACGUCGUGAGACAGUUCGGUCCCUAUCUGCCGUGGGCGCUGGAGAACUGAGGGGGGCUGCUCCUAGUACGAGAGGACCGGAGUGGACGCAUCACUGGUGUUCGGGUUGUCAUGCCAAUGGCACUGCCCGGUAGCUAAAUGCGGAAGAGAUAAGUGCUGAAAGCAUCUAAGCACGAAACUUGCCCCGAGAUGAGUUCUCCCUGACUCCUUGAGAGUCCUGAAGGAACGUUGAAGACGACGACGUUGAUAGGCCGGGUGUGUAAGCGCAGCGAUGCGUUGAGCUAACCGGUACUAAUGAACCGUGAGGCUUAACCUUACAACGCCGAAGGUGUUU
This 2546-nucleotide ribosomal RNA is filed under the name Escherichia coli. RNAcentral describes it as "partial 23S ribosomal RNA". It matches the Rfam family "Bacterial large subunit ribosomal RNA", at positions 418 to 2925 of the family's 2925-position model. Lineage: Bacteria; Pseudomonadati; Pseudomonadota; Gammaproteobacteria; Enterobacterales; Enterobacteriaceae. The record is from RNAcentral.